GGGGAUUUAGCUCAGCGGUAGAGCACUUGCCUAGCAUGCACAAGGCCCUGGGUUCGGUCCCCAGCUCCG
Molecule: transfer RNA, 69 nt
Filed under: Rattus norvegicus (Norway rat)
Lineage: Eukaryota; Metazoa; Chordata; Mammalia; Rodentia; Muridae
Rfam family: tRNA
About the family: Transfer RNA (tRNA) molecules are approximately 80 nucleotides in length. Their secondary structure includes four short double-helical elements and three loops (D, anti-codon, and T loops).
Source: Rfam by way of RNAcentral